This is a long non-coding RNA of Cornus florida, 3700 nucleotides long. RefSeq lists it as uncharacterized. NCBI's taxonomy places the organism in Eukaryota, Viridiplantae, Streptophyta, Magnoliopsida, Cornales, Cornaceae. The record is from RefSeq and is a predicted model, not a curated record. The transcript is spliced from 2 exons.
UCAACAUAUCAAGGGGUAAUAUUCUAUCAUGUCACAUGUUUAAACAAAGUUAUGGACAACUGGGAAAAUUAAAUCCUUCACAAGAAAAAUAAAUAAUAAAAUCUCUAGAUUUUAUAUCCAAGCAUGUAAUCAAGUUGUAUAAGCAUCACAAGCAUGUAAAAUAGAAAGAAAAUAAAUUAUAACACCCCUACCUCAAUUUUGAGAUGGAAAUCUCAAAUCCCCACCGAAAAAAAAGUAUUCCGAAUCCAUUGAAACUCUUAGGUUUUGUUGGGGAUAACAUGAUCUACAUGAAUCCGAAGGAAGCCCCAUGAAAAUCACAACUUGACUCCCAACCUAAACACGUCGAGGGAAACAAUAAACGUGAAGGCCGAAGACUUUUCACUUAAGAAAAGUGGAUCAAAGGAGGAGAGAGAAAGUGACAGCUCCAUGGGCAUCCAUGGCUGCCGGCCAAGAGAGGAAGAAGAAGAGAAAAAUUUGAUUUUUUUUUUUCUUUAAGUCUCCUAUUUAUAGAAAAUCUCAAAAAGUGCCCCGAAAGGGCACCGCUGGGUCCGGAAAAGUGAAAUUUGAGCAAACGUGCUCAAACGGAAAAACUCCAUGAAUAAAAAAGAUUUAAAAUGAGAAAAUAUGAAUAACGAAAAAAACGGUGUAAAAAACGGAGUCCCGAGCAGAGAGAUAUGUCCCGAACAAGUUCGGCGGCAAUCAGGGCCAAAAACUCUGAAAUUUGAGAAAAACGACCAGAACGGAAUUUUAAGAGUACAAGACUUGAUGAAAUGUGAAACUGAAUCCCGUAUGAGGAUCCAGGCUCCAAACGAGGUAUUUUGCUAUAACUUUCGUUAAUUGCACAAUGACCCCUACAAAAAGGGUUAACUGCGAAACUGCCCCAGAAUGAAAAUAUCUUCCAAAAGAUAUUUUUUUAGAUGCCCCUAAAAUAAAAUAUCUUUAAAAGAUAUUUAUGAAAAACACCCCAAGAAAAGAAAAAAAUUCUGAAGAAUUGUGCAUCCAUGCUCCUAUGAACACCGGGAGCAACCAGAGUACUUUCUUGCAAAAGUAAAUAUACGUAUUUCGAGAAAACCACUCAAGAUGAAGGCAUGUGAAGUCAAAAACUAACUCCAAGCAUGAAAAGUGAGGUUUUACCAAUAAAGUAAUAGAUGGGGAAAAGACAGAAUAGGGAAAAGGACGAAAUAGGGAAAAGGACAAAAGUGAAUAGUGUCCCGAAAAGUGAAAAUGCGAAAAUGACUCAGUCCUCAAAGGAAGUUGUCAAUCCACACGAAAGAGUCUCAGAAGCCAAUUCUAAGCACUCAAGAUGAUACUAAACGACGAAAAACAGAUCUCAGAAAAGAGAAUUAAACGGAAAAAAUUUAUCCGUAAAAUUUCAGGAAAAAAAGAAAGGGAGGAAAAUGACUUGGUCAUUACAUUUGUUUUGUUUUGUUUUGAUUGAAAAAAAAAAAAUUGAUUGAUUUGUGCAUAAUGAUAUAUAUCUGUUUUACUCCAUAUACUUAAUACUCUAAUGUGUGCUGUGGAGUGUGAUUAUUUUGUCUAGUACAAAGGACUAAGUUUGGGGGCGAGGUGAUGAUUCCAUUCCUCUGAGAUAUCAAUUCUUGAUUCUUGCAAGUUCUGUAUAUUUGAUAAUAUCUUUCUAACUUUACAUCUAUUUUCACACAUUGAUCACAAUGUGCAUCUUAAGUUUGGGGGUAAUAUAGUGCCUUUUAAAAUUUUGUUGUUAAUAUAUUGUGCACAAGAGGAUGCAAUUUAACUGUUUAAGUAUGAUUUUGAGUCUGUUGACUAUUGUGAUGUCCAUAUGCAGUUUGAUAUUGGUUUAAGAAGGUUUGUAUUUCGAAUUCAUGUUAAAUAGGGAUUAUUGAAACUUUUUUAUAUCAGUUGAUGGCCUGUUGUCCACUUUGUCAGGGUAGUUACAAUUUGAUGAUUCUGAUUCCUAGAAUAUUUCACUUUGCACAUGUUCACACUUACAUGAAUUAUGUGGGGUAUAAACUUGAAGUCUUAUUUUGAUUUGUGUUAAACUAAGAUGGAUAGGUGAAUUUGAUGAUUUUUAGAACCAAGGUAUAAAAAAAAAUGAAAGAAAUAAAAUGGUAUGCAUGCAAUAAAAAAAAAAGAAAAAAAAAAAGGUUCUUCAUUAAUGUGAAGGAACCAAAUGAAAAGAGAGAAAAAGGGUCAAGUUUGGGUCUGUACCUAGAUUGCUUAAACAAUUAAUUCCUCAGGGGUGUUUCAACACUUAAUGAGUUCGCUACAAAAAAAGUUUAGGUUGUCCAGAUUACUUGAGCAAUUUGGUCCAUAGGAGUGUUUUAACACCUAAUGCCCUAAAUCCAUUUGGCUUGGAAGUCAUUGGCUGAAAACUCGUUACAAGAAUGAUUUAGAAAGCUUAAUAGACCUGAGCAUUGCAUAGUACCCUUUUGAAAAAAAAAAAAAAAAAAAAGAGUUGAAAAAAAAUUGAGUGAUGAAUGAAAUAAAUGCAAACCUAUAGAAAAUUAGGAAAAAUACCUUGGGGAUCAGAAUUUGAAAGGUUUACUUGUGAAUUGAGGGAUAGCAUGAGUUAGAUAUAAGUAUGGAUAGUAAGCCACAUGUUUAUAAUUGUAAGUUCACUAUUAAAAAGGAUUUUGGGGAUCGAGAUUGUUAAAUAUAAGAUUAAACUAACAUAUGGGGACCAUAGCUGCUAAUAUGAUACUGAGAGUUGGUGAUUUUUCCUGUUUAAUAUAGUUCCUUAUACUUGUUGUAGUUAACUGAUUGAUGUAUUGCUGGAAUAUUAUGAUAUGAAAAUAGGUUUGAAUGAGCUUGUCGUGCAAUUAAGGCACUAAUUUGAGAAGUUUGUGGGUAUCUUCACUGGAAACCUCACGAGAUUACAACUCGUCUGCUGAGCAUUGAAAAGCACUUCUCCCCAAAAUAAGUUAAUCCAGCUGAAUUAGAGCAUAAAAGAUGCAAUCUGAAGCUCAAUGGAAGAAAGGAGCAAAGUGGAAGCAAGUUAGUGAAAGGAAGCACUCUUCAAUCGAUCGAACAAAGCUCAGAUCUAUCACACAGUGAUCAUUCCAAAAAUGCCAAGAUGGAUCGAGCCUUUUGUCCUUGUCCUCAGCAAAAUUCAUUCUUCGAUCGAUCCAACAAUUCUUUGAUCAAUUGAACAUCUUUGAUCUUAUCCUCACCUACCACUUUUGUCCUCUUCCCAAAAAUAUCUCAGCCUUGUCUUUAUUCCAAAAAGGCACUGCCAAGGUUCGAUUGAUUGAACCAACCUUGAGAUUGAUCGAACUGCCUCGAAUUGCGUGAAAAGUUGAUAUCAAGCCAAAUUAAAUAUGUACUCAUGGUGCAAUCAUUGGGAGGUCCUAGUGCACGAGGUUUAACCAUUGGGUGUGACAUUUGAGCUACCUAUAUAAGGAUUUUGGCUAUUUUGAGUAAAGGGGGUUAGAUUAGAGAGACUUGGCUAGAGAUUAAAGAGAGAGAAUAUAGAAAUUGAGAAAGUUCUUCCUCUCUUCUAAGGUUUCCACCAAGGAGGAAGAAGAUCAUUUCUAGCAUGGAAAUAGCCCUUGAGGGUUGGAUGACAACAUCAAUGAGUGGCUAAACAUCUUCUUAGGGCUAGAGCUAGCCCUAGGCAUGCCUCAUAGACUUUGAUGUUUUGUAAUUAAUGGGAAUUAGUAUUGUAAUUCUUGUCUUGACCUUUGAUAUAUAUAUAAAUCUUGUUUCUACAUUGAUUUGUGUA